GAUUUUCACUAAAAAGAUCUUUCCUAUUUGCCAUGUUUCACAUGGCGCAUGUGGUUAGCCUCAUGAAAGCCCCUGAGCGGGCUUUCUUGAUAAGAUUAGACUAAUAAGAAUUCCUUUUUACUAAUCAGGAUAAACCCAGGAAUCGGACAUUAAUCUAAUCCAAUACAGGUCCAAUACAGGAAUCUGUAUUCAGAUAUUUUAUGAAAACGGAAUUAUUACUAUACUAAAACGCUCUAAACAAGGAGAUGCCCCUUUUAGGUAGUAUCAGUCGAAGACUGAUUUUAACACGGGAACUACAAACCACUUUUUUCUAAGCAAAUCUCGCUGUGGUAAAGCGCUAAAUAAAUCCUCGUGGUUACCACGACGAUUUAAGGAACACGCAAAUAAACGCGAAUUAGCUACUUUAUUGAA
Molecule: non-coding RNA, 411 nt
Organism: Lolium perenne
Lineage: Eukaryota; Viridiplantae; Streptophyta; Magnoliopsida; Poales; Poaceae
Source: RefSeq, a predicted model, not a curated record